GCAGGGGUAGUCAAGCUUGGCCAACGGCGCAAGGUUGAGGGCCUUGUCCUUAGUGGUUCGAGGGUUCAAAUCCCUUCCCCUGCACCA
This 87-nucleotide transfer RNA is filed under the name Methanomassiliicoccaceae archaeon. RNAcentral describes it as "tRNA-Leu". It matches the Rfam family "tRNA". From Rfam's summary of the family: Transfer RNA (tRNA) molecules are approximately 80 nucleotides in length. Their secondary structure includes four short double-helical elements and three loops (D, anti-codon, and T loops). Lineage: Archaea; Methanobacteriati; Thermoplasmatota; Thermoplasmata; Methanomassiliicoccales; Methanomassiliicoccaceae. The record is from RNAcentral.